Molecule: ribosomal RNA, 854 nt
Filed under: uncultured bacterium
Lineage: Bacteria
Description: bacterial SSU rRNA
Rfam family: Bacterial small subunit ribosomal RNA
Source: RNAcentral
UACGGAGGGUGCGAGCGUUACCCGGGAUUUACUGGGUGUAAAGGGCGUGUAGGCGGUCUCUCAAGUCCGAUGCUAAAGACCGAAGCUCAACUUCGGGGGUGCGUUGGAUACUGUGAGGCUAGACGGUCGGAGAGGGUAGCGGAAUUUCCGGAGUAGCGGUGAAAUGCGCAGAUACCGGAAGGAACGCCAAUAGCGAAAGCAGCUACCUGGACGAUUUGUGACGCUGAGGCGCGAAAGCGUGGGGAGCAAACCGGAUUAGAUACCCGGGUAGUCCACGCCCUAAACGAUGAGUGCUGGGUGUCCGACAUCUGUUGGGUGCCGUAGCUAACGCGUUAAGCACUCCACCUGGGAAGUACGGUCGCAAGACUGAAACUCAAAGGAAUUGACGGGGGCCCGCACAAGCGGUGGAGCAUGUGGUUUAAUUCGAAGCAACGCGCAGAACCUUACCAGGUCUUGACAUCCACGGAACCCUGGUGAAAGCCGGGGGUGCCCGCAAGGGAGCCGUGAGGCAGGUGCUGCAUGGUCGUCGUCAGUUCGUGUCGUGAGAUGUUGGGUUAAGUCCCGCAACGAGCGCAACCCUUGUUGCUAGUUGCCAUCAGUUCGGCUGGGCACUCUAGCGAGACUGCCUACGAAAGUAGGAGGAAGGCGGGGAUGACGUCUGAUCCGCAUGGCCCUUACGACCUGGGCGACACACGUGCUACAAUGCCUGCCACAAAGCGCUGCGACCCGGCAACGGGAAGCCAAUCGCAUAAAAGCAGGCUCAGUUCGGAUUGGGGUCUGCAACUCGACCCCAUGAAGCUGGAAUCGCUAGUAAUCGCGGAUCAGCCAUGCCGCGGUGAAUACGUUCCCGGGCC